CAAUCGGCUUCUUUAGAAGCCACCCCUUUAAAAGAUUCUCACACUCU
Molecule: non-coding RNA, 47 nt
Organism: Rozella allomycis CSF55
Lineage: Eukaryota; Fungi; Rozellomycota
Source: Rfam